Long non-coding RNA from Columba livia (rock pigeon), 587 nucleotides. RefSeq lists it as uncharacterized. The transcript has 2 exons. The record is from RefSeq and is a predicted model, not a curated record. Lineage: Eukaryota; Metazoa; Chordata; Aves; Columbiformes; Columbidae.
CUCCUCCCGGUUUUCAGAACUGGGGAGGCUCUUGUGCGGCCUGAGCUUGGCUGGUUCACUGCGAGGUUUCGGCGCGCCCGAGGACUCCACAUGGACCGUGCCUGUCGCUGGGGAGGCUUCCUCUUCUCAGGGAGCAAGUGUAGUGUACUGCAGAGUGGCUUCAUUUUGAUGGCUCUUCCUUUGCUCCUCUAAAGCAGCCUCCAGCUGCCAUCGUGCUGUGCUGGGGAAGCCACAGCUGCUGGUGCUGCAUGUGCUGAUGUUCUCCACUCAGCCAGUUUCCAUGGGAAAUCUCCCUAGAUAUUUGUGGUGAGUAGUUACAGCCCUGCUUGUGUCCAUACUGGAGCCACUGGCUCUCUUCCAGAGGUAGCACCUGCUACACCAACAGCCGCCCUUCUCCCCGAGCUCCGUGCUGCCUGAUCCCACUCUGGAUGCAGGACCCGUCCCCGUGCUGGAGCUGGGCUUCAUUUGCUCCUGCGCUGUGCCCUUAGCACACAGACUUUGCACCGCUCCCCCUCCUGCAGCCCCCACCAAACCCUCACCCCCAGCGCUGGUUUCUCCCAAUAACACACGUGCCUACUGCUUGUUUA